Molecule: ribosomal RNA, 381 nt
Filed under: Ophiocordyceps sinensis
Lineage: Eukaryota; Fungi; Ascomycota; Sordariomycetes; Hypocreales; Ophiocordycipitaceae
Description: SSU rRNA
Rfam family: Eukaryotic small subunit ribosomal RNA
Source: RNAcentral
GUAGUUGAACCUUGGGCCUGGCUGGCCGGUCCGCCUCACCGCGUGUACUGGUCCGGCCGGGCCUUUCCCUCUGUGGAACCCCAUGCCCUUCACUGGGCGUGGCGGGGAAACAGGACUUUUACUUUGAAAAAAUUAGAGUGCUCCAGGCAGGCCUAUGCUCGAAUACAUUAGCAUGGAAUAAUGAAAUAGGACGCGCGGUUCUAUUUUGUUGGUUUCUAGGACCGCCGUAAUGAUUAAUAGGGACAGUCGGGGGCAUCAGUAUUCAAUGGUCAGAGGUGAAAUUCUUGGAUCCAUUGAAGACUAACUACUGCGAAAGCAUUUGUCAAGGAUGUUUUCAUUAAUCAGGAACGAAAGUUAGGGGAUCGAAGACGAUCAGAUACC